RNAcentral lists this small RNA (1229 nucleotides) under Rattus norvegicus (Norway rat). Its description in RNAcentral is "uncharacterized LOC102554533". The record is from RNAcentral. Lineage: Eukaryota; Metazoa; Chordata; Mammalia; Rodentia; Muridae.
UCCGGUACUAAGAAAGGAGAACCCAGACGGGGAGAUGUAGUCAGAGAGCAGGGGAGGAAAGCUGUGUGAGUGGAGAUUGGGAGGAGGGAAGAUGGCUGAGCGUGUCGCCUAGGCUCCAGAUCUAAACGCUAAGACCCAUGAGGUGCUUUGCCUGUAGGCAGAAGGGGAUACGAGGUGUCUUGAAACUUGGACUGGCUCUGCUGUGGACAGGAUGGGUGGGAAAUGUUGGGGGAAACUUGAGGCACCCUGUCAUCCAGGCAGAUGAGGGGAGGUCUCUGGGCACUGAGGGAGAAGGUGACAAACUCUUCAGAGACAGAGCGGCAGAACUUGCUGAUUCAUGGGAACUGGUGCCGUGGGGGUUCGGGGCGACCGCCAUAUUGUUCCUUAAGCAACUGUUUAGAUGGGGUUGCUGCAGGCUGGUGGUGGGCAGAGGGAGGGGGCGGAGACCAGGAAUCAGAGAAUCUCAGGCAUGUUAACUAGAAGUGCCCUGUGGCGGGCACAGUGAAGUGCAGUUAUGCAGAUGGAUCCACAUCUGGAAUCUUGGAAAGGGGUCUGUACUGCUGUGUCCAAGAAAAUGAAGACAUAGAUGAGAAAAAGACAUCUGGCCAUUUAUAAAUAUGUCCUAACUCCAACAGGGGGUGAGAUAUUUUAAGGGCAGAUUAAAAAGCAUCAAAAUACAAGUAAGAAAAUAGAAUUUAAUACCAUACUCAUCUGGGUGGAUAGAUAUAUGUCCCAGCAGUGGUGUCUUUGUACAACCAGGAAGAUCUGUGGACUUUGACGAGAAAGCGUCACCUUUAGCAACACGGAACUGUCGGAGCGCCACCCUAACGGCACCACGGAUGUGGCAAGGACACACUUCCACCCCUCUGACCCACGUGCGGUUCACUCGUCUUCACUGCUGCGGCAUCUUCUCUCACUCGCUUAGAUCAGACUGCAUCUUCCCAUCCCUCCCUGCGACGUUUCCCCUGGAGUCUGUAACUGACCAAACCUUCUUGAUUGCUGUCUGCUGCUCAUACACGUUCUCUGGCCUGUUUGUCUGGUAAUAAAUGCUCUCCUUCCUUGGCUGAUGGGGGUAUUUGUUUAUGAGCAAGUAAGCUUCUGAGGCUAUCGAGCUAAGACAGUAUAAGGGGACGAGCACUGUACACAUGUGCGUAAAUGCACACACACACACACACACACACACACACACACACACACAGGUAUAGGAGUCUUCCUCGCUGACACGUCUA